This 323-nucleotide ribosomal RNA is filed under the name uncultured eukaryote. RNAcentral describes it as "partial 18S ribosomal RNA". It matches the Rfam family "Eukaryotic small subunit ribosomal RNA", at positions 1470 to 1796 of the family's 1831-position model. The record is from RNAcentral.
CCCUUAGAUGUUCUGGGCCGCACGCGCGCUACACUGAUGCAUUCAACGAGUUAUUCUUUGACCUUGGUCGAAAGAUCUGGGUAAUCUUUUGAAAUUGCAUCGUGAUGGGGCUUGCGGGUUGCAAUUACCCGCACCAACGAGGAAUUCCUAGUAAACGCAAGUCAUCAGCUUGCAUUGAUUACGUCCCUGCCCUUUGUACACACCGCCCGUCGCUCCUACUGAUUGGGUGAUCCGGUGAGCUGUUCGGCCAUAGCAAUGUUUCUUGAGUAGGGCAAUGAAUGUUUCGCAAACCUUGCCACUUAGAGGAAGGAGAAGUCGUAACA